This 497-nucleotide ribosomal RNA is filed under the name uncultured bacterium. Its description in RNAcentral is "partial 16S ribosomal RNA". It matches the Rfam family "Bacterial small subunit ribosomal RNA", at positions 28 to 507 of the family's 1533-position model. The record is from RNAcentral.
GAUGAACGCUGGCGGCGUGCCUAAUACAUGCAAGUCGAGCGAACGGACGAGAAGCUUGCUUCUCUGAUGUUAUCGGCGGACGGGUGAGUAACACGUGGAUAACCUACCUAUAAGACUGGGAUAACUUCGGGAAACCGGAGCUAAUACCGGAUGAUAUUUUGAACCGCAUGGUUCAAAAGUGAAAGACGGUCUUGCUGUCACUUAUAGAUGGAUCCGCGCUGCAUUAGCUAGUUGGUAAGGUAACGGCUUACCAAGGCAACGAUGCAUAGCCGACCUGAGAGGGUGAUCAGCCACACUGGAACUGAGACACGGUCCAGACUCCUACGGGAGGCAGCAGUAGGGAAUCUUCCGCAAUGGGCGAAAGCCUGACGGAGCAACGCCGCGUGAGUGAUGAAGGUCUUCGGAUCGUAAAACUCUGUUAUUAGGGAAGAACAUAUGUGUAAGUAACUGUGCACAUCUUGACGGUACCUAAUCAGAAAGCCACGGCUAACUACGUG